AUGGGCGAGCGCCAAGCUGCGCUCAAGCUCUGGCUCCGUCUCCUCGCCGCCAAGGGCGUCCAGGAGCUCGUCCUCGUCAAUCGCCCGUGGCCGCGUGAGGUGCCCCUCCCCAGCACGCUCUUCACCCUCUCCACCCUUACCCGCCUCUACAUCGGCGUCUGGAAAUUCCCGGACGCGGCCGGCCUCCGCGGCGUCUCCUUCCCUCACCUCCGGGAGCUCGGCCUCUGCCUCGUCGAAGUGGAGAACGGGGACAUCGAUGCCGUCGUCGCCAGGAGCCCCGUCCUGGAGAUCCUCAACAUCCAAGGGAGUCUCAGGGGGAAAUGUCUCCGCCUCGUCAGCCAAAGCCUCCGAUGCGUCCAGGUCUGCACCUCCGUGACCGUGAUGGAGAGCACCGAGGUGGUAAACGCCGAGCGGCUCAUCGUGUGCGAAGAUAUGAACCUCUCCGGCGUGUGCACCAGGGUGAAGAUUGGAAAUGCCCCCAAGCUGAAAUUGUUCGCGUACCUCGAGCCAGGGAAACAUACUCUAGAGAUCGGGGACACCGUGAUCAUGCCUGGAGUGGAGGCGAGCCCAAGCAUGAUGCUCACAACCGUCAAAAUUCUGAGUUUGCAUGUGUGUUUUGGAGUUCACAAAGACAUCAAGAUGAUGCCAGCCUUCCUCGGAUGCUUUCCCAAUGUCGAGUCGCUGCAUAUUACGUCUGCAAAAUGUGAUCAACCCACUGACAAGCUCAACCUCAAGUUCUGGGAAGAUGAGGCUGGCCCCAUCGUCAAUGUGCUGCUGCGCAUCAGGGUGAUGACAUUCAGGGAGUUCCGGGGGGAGCAAUAUGAGCUUUCAUUCCUUCGGUACUUCUUCAAGAGUACAUAUGCUUUAAAUCAAGCAGUCAUUUCGUUGGCCAAUCCAAGCUUCACUUCAAGGUCCGAGGAUGAGAUGAUAUCCAGUGUGGUGAAUAUGAGAAUUGGAAAUUUUGCCAGUGAAUUUGAGGUCCUUUUCUACGUGAGCACCGGUCCUGAGGGACUCAGUCGCUGGACCUUCAAGCGAGGGGCAAAGUUUUCUGAUGAUGACCCUUUUGCAACAGUUAAAAUCAUUCCAAGGCCCGGAGACCAGACGUCGCAAGCUUGUAAGUGUCACAACUGA
Molecule: ribosomal RNA, 1131 nt
Filed under: Triticum aestivum (bread wheat)
Lineage: Eukaryota; Viridiplantae; Streptophyta; Magnoliopsida; Poales; Poaceae
Description: partial small subunit ribosomal RNA
Source: RNAcentral